UCCCAGUUUGUCCUUGGUGCCUACCAUGUC
RNAcentral lists this non-coding RNA (30 nucleotides) under Rattus norvegicus (Norway rat). The record is from RNAcentral. Lineage: Eukaryota; Metazoa; Chordata; Mammalia; Rodentia; Muridae.